This 300-nucleotide unclassified non-coding RNA is filed under the name plant metagenome. RNAcentral describes it as "partial contains small subunit ribosomal RNA, internal transcribed spacer 1, and 5.8S ribosomal RNA". The record is from RNAcentral.
UUUCCGUAGGUGAACCUGCGGAAGGAUCAUUAUUGAAUGAACUUGGUGUGGUUGUGCUGGCCCUCUCGGGGGCAUGUGCUCACCCGCCAUUCUCAUCUCUCCACCUGUGCACCUCUUGUAGACUUGGACUUGGCUUUCCGAGGGAACUCGGUCGGGAGGACUGCUGGCAAUUCAGCUGGCUGUCCUUGCAUUUCCAAGCCUACGUUUUUCAUAUACCCCAUUGUAUGUAACAGAAUGUAUCAUUAGGCCCUUGUGCCUAUAAAACUUAUACAACUUUCAGCAACGGAUCUCUUGGCUCUC